GACGAACGCUGGCGGCGUGCCUAAUACAUGCAAGUAGAACGCAGUUGCGAACGGGUGAGUAACGCGUAGGUAACUGCCUGGUAGCGGGGGAUAACUAUUGGAAACGAUAGCUAAUACCGCAUACUACCAGAUGGACCUGCGUUGUAUUAGCUAGUUGGUGGGGUAACGGCUCACCAAGGGAACGAUACAUAGCCGACUUGAGAGGGUGAUAGGCAACACUGGGACUGAGACACGGCCCAGACUCCUACGGGAGGCAGCAGUAGGGAAUCUGCGGCAAUGGGGGGAACCCUGACCGAGCAACGCCGCGGGAGUGAAGAAGGUUUGCGGAUCGUAAAGCUCUGUUGUGAAGGAAGCGGUACUUAACCAUAAAGGGAGUGCUAACUACGUGCCAGCAGCAGAGGUAAUAC
RNAcentral lists this ribosomal RNA (407 nucleotides) under uncultured bacterium. RNAcentral's name for it is "partial 16S ribosomal RNA". It matches the Rfam family "Bacterial small subunit ribosomal RNA", at positions 28 to 526 of the family's 1533-position model. The record is from RNAcentral.